This 460-nucleotide ribosomal RNA is filed under the name uncultured bacterium. Its description in RNAcentral is "partial 16S ribosomal RNA". It matches the Rfam family "Bacterial small subunit ribosomal RNA", at positions 338 to 795 of the family's 1533-position model. The record is from RNAcentral.
CCUACGGGUGGCAGCAGUGAGGAAUAUUGGUCAAUGGGCGAGAGCCUGAACCAGCCAAGUCGCGUGAAGGAUGAAGGAUCUAUGGUUUGUAAACUUCUUUUAUAUGGGAAUAAAGUGAGGAACGUGUUCCUUUUUGUAUGUACCAUAUGAAUAAGCAUCGGCUAACUCCGUUCCAGCAGCGCCGGUAAUACGGAGGAUGCGAGCGUUAUCCGGAUUUAUUGGGGUUAAAGGGUGCGUAGGUGGUGACUUAAGUCAGCGGUGAAAGUUUGUGGCGCAACCAUAAAAUUGGCGUUGAAACUGGGUAACUUGAGUAUAUUUGAGGUGGGCGGAAUUCGUGGUGUAGCGGUGAAAUGCUUAGAUAUCACGAAGAACUCCGAUUGCGAAGGCAGUUCACUGGACUGCAACUGACACUGAGGCUCGAAAGUGUGGGUAUCAAACAGGAUUAGAUACCCUUGUAGUC